This 705-nucleotide unclassified non-coding RNA is filed under the name Trichophyton concentricum. RNAcentral describes it as "sequence contains 18S rRNA gene, ITS1, 5.8S rRNA gene, ITS2, 28S rRNA gene". The stretch from base 304 to 457 matches the Rfam family "5.8S ribosomal RNA". The record is from RNAcentral. Lineage: Eukaryota; Fungi; Ascomycota; Eurotiomycetes; Onygenales; Arthrodermataceae.
UGGAAGUAAAAGUCGUAACAAGGUUUCCGUAGGUGAACCUGCGGAAGGAUCAUUAACGCGCAGGCCGGAGGCUGGCCCCCCACGAUAGGAAUCAACGUUCCAUCAGGGGUGUGCAGAUGUGCGCCGGUCUUACGCCCCAUUCUUGUCUACCUUACUCGGUUGCCUCGGCGGGCCGCGCUCUCCUGGGAGAGUCGUCCGGCGAGCCUCUUUGGGGGCUUUAGCUGGAUCGCGCCCGCCGGAGGACAGACAUCAAAAAAUCUUGGAAAGCUGUCAGUCUGAGCGUUAGCAAGUAAAAUUAGUUAAAACUUUCAACAACGGAUCUCUUGGUUCCGGCAUCGAUGAAGAACGCAGCGAAAUGCGAUAAGUAAUGUGAAUUGCAGAAUUCCGUGAAUCAUCGAAUCUUUGAACGCACAUUGCGCCCUCUGGUAUUCCGGGGGGCAUGCCUGUUCGAGCGUCAUUUCAACCCCUCAAGCCCGGCUUGUGUGAUGGACGACCGUCCGACCUCCUCUUUCGGGGGCGGGACGCGCCCGAAAAGCAGUGGCCAGGCCGCGAUCCCGGCUUCCUGGGCGAAUGGGCAGUCAAACCAGCGCCCUCAGGACCGGCCGCUCUGGCCUUCCCCCAAAUCUCUCUGAGAUAUUUUUUCAGGUUGACCUCGGAUCAGGUAGGGAUACCCGCUGAACUUAAGCAUAUCAAUAAGCGGAGGAA